UCGUAUUCGUAUUUUGUCGGCUCUCUUCGGCUCUCCGACUAAUCGGCCAUAGCUUUGCUCGCUCGCUGGCUGCGGAACUUCAUUCAUUCGCGCUGCGCGUCUCGUCUGUACCGGUUGCCUCCUGGCUCUCUCCUGCCUCACCUCUCUCCGCCCGCCGCCCACCACCCCCUCACUCACACAAUUGUUUAGCAAAGACAAAGGCAGUAACACACACACACUCAGUGCUCCAGCGAAAUAAGUGCAAAAAUCAGAGAAAAUAUUCAAAAUCCAAAGCGAUUAAAAUAUACAAAAAGUGAACAAUCAGCCAAAGAAGUCUGGGGCCCAGCCAAUGCGUCAUUCCCGCAGUCAGUCGCUCAAUCCGGCAACAAGAGCUAUCGCCACAGACACUCACUCACACUCACUGGCACAGCUGCAAUUACCAAGUGCGAACGGCAGGCCAGACAUCGCACACAUACACGCAUACACCCAUACAGUCGAACAUCUAUAAACCCAGAAAAGGCAUUAUAGAACCGAGAUUUUACUGAAGAGAUCGGAAGUGAAGCGCAGGGCAGUGCGGUUCUUCGAAACAAGUUCCUAGAAUUUAAAUUACUUACUAGAAAGUACGUUAAACUUGGCAUUUGGCUGAAAAGUACCUUUAGAAAUGGGCCAAUAGCUCUGUUCUCCAGUGAAGUUAUAAUAUGGUUGGUCAGUUGUAGUUCUUACUGAAUAAAUACAGUGAAAUCUUAGCUAUCUUGUCGUGCAAGGAUAAUAUUAUGGAAAUUUCUAGAGUUAAAUUUACUGUGUGUGAAAGUAUACAAAACUGGGCGAUAACCAUAUCUUUGGUUGGUUAAGUAUUGACAAAGGUCCAUAAAUCUUUAGGUAUUAGCAAAACACCAUGCUGCCCUGUAAUGCCUUUAAGAACUAGCAAACAAUCAGAAUGCUCUAAUAAGGCUUUAAUUUACUAAGUAGCUUGUUUGAAAUUCUUAUAUUUCAAUGCUUAUACCUUGUUAUGCAGGAUAUGAUUAUAAAGCCAGUUACGCAUGAUUCUGAAGCGGCUCAGACAUGUAGGGAGUUUAGCCUGAACGCUUUAGGCCCAUUCAAGGCUAUUCAAAAUCAGACUAGUAAUACCAGCUUUGGCGGAUUUUCCCGCUGUGUAGAUUGGCAGACAGAAGGCAGACUGUAACCGCUGUGGGAGGCGCGUCGAACAGUUAUCAGCCUGCGACUCAAAGUCAAACUCAAACUCAAGCCCAAACCCAACCUCAGAAACAGAAACAGACUCAAAAUCAGACUGCGGCUGAAACUGAGACGCCGCUGCCGGCGUUGUUGUCUGGAAUUUAACACACACAAUACACACACCGAUACACCUCCACUCCGCCACUCCGCCACACCGCCACACACGCCCAUUUGCACACAUGGCCAACCGGAUGUUGCAGCCAUCUUUGUCAUCUUUUUCAAUCUCAGCCUUGGCUAAGGUCGCUCCUGCCACCCGAUGCCCCCCAUUCCAUUAGAUUCCGUUCAAAGCCAUCCAAGUUGCCCGAAAGAGACGGGGCAAGAAAGAGCCGAGUGGCUGCCGUGAAGUCGUGAAUUUAUAACAAAACGCUAGACUCGGCGACUCUGACCGACUGGUUUGGCGUGUUGGCCCGGCUAAAAUGAAUUUUUUAUGGCUACAACAAGCAAACAGAACAGCAACAACUGAAUCAAAAGCAUAAAAAUGCCGCAACCCGAAAACCCGCAAGCCCGCAACACGAAAUUCUGAAUGGGCACCAUCUGAAUUUUCGAAAAUUGAACGAGCCAGUUGGAGAGUUGGCCAAUAGAGCGAGAGAGAGAGGGACAGAGCGAGAGUGAGAGGGAGGGGAAGAGGACCGGCGAUAAGGAAGAAGCGGAGAUGUCUUUUGGGGUCUGUUGGCUUGGCAAAGAUGGAAAUCUUAAUGCAGACGGAUGGAUGGUAAUGGAAAUGGAGAUGGAGAUGGAGAUGGCAAAGGCAAAGGCAAAGUCGAGGAACACAACUCAGGCACUUCCGCAAUGAAUGGCUCAACUCCUGACUCCAGAACCGACUUGACUCCGGGAUCUUGGCACAACUCGAGUCGGACGCUUCAGAUAAGACAAGGAUGAAAUCCCUUUGGAUAUCUGGAUGCGAAUCAGUGCCCUGGCACAAUGGCAGUUAUGUCGGAGCCAGCUUUUCCUCCUCAACUCACUCCCAUCGAAGCGUGCAGAAAAAAAUAAAAGCACUGCUGCUGGCUUUCUUGGA
Molecule: long non-coding RNA, 2227 nt
Organism: Drosophila elegans
Lineage: Eukaryota; Metazoa; Arthropoda; Insecta; Diptera; Drosophilidae
Exons: 5
Source: RefSeq, a predicted model, not a curated record